CCUACGGGAGGCAGCAGUAGGGAAUCUUGGACAAUGGGCGCAAGCCUGAUCCAGCCAUGCCGCGUGAGUGAAGAAGGCCUUAGGGUCGUAAAGCUCUUUCGCCUGUGAUGAUAAUGACAGUAGCAGGUAAAGAAACCCCGGCUAACUCCGUGCCAGCAGCCGCGGUAAUACGGAGGGGGUUAGCGUUGUUCGGAAUUACUGGGCGUAAAGCGCGCGUAGGCGGAUUGGAAAGUUAGAGGUGAAAUCCCGGGGCUCAACCCCGGAACGGCCUUUAAAACUCCCAGUCUAGAGUUCGAGAGAGGUGAGUGGAAUUCCAAGUGUAGAGGUGAAAUUCGUAGAUAUUUGGAGGAACACCAGUGGCGAAGGCGGCUCACUGGCUCGAUACUGACGCUGAGGUGCGAAAGUGUGGGGAGCAAACAGGAUUAGAUACCCUGGUAGUCCACACCGUAAACGAUGAACGCCAGUCGUCGGAUAGUAUACUAUUCGGUGACACACCUAACGGAUUAAGCAUUCCGCCUGGGGAGUACGGUCGCAAGAUUAAAACUCAAAGGAAUUGACGG
This 560-nucleotide ribosomal RNA is filed under the name uncultured Alphaproteobacteria bacterium. Its description in RNAcentral is "bacterial SSU rRNA". It matches the Rfam family "Bacterial small subunit ribosomal RNA", at positions 338 to 916 of the family's 1533-position model. The record is from RNAcentral. Lineage: Bacteria; Pseudomonadati; Pseudomonadota; Alphaproteobacteria.